Molecule: long non-coding RNA, 484 nt
Filed under: Pan troglodytes (chimpanzee)
Lineage: Eukaryota; Metazoa; Chordata; Mammalia; Primates; Hominidae
Description: lncRNA (ENSPTRG00000052900.1)
Source: RNAcentral
AUACAAAUGACAAGAAAGACUCUGUUUCGAACAUAGCCACAGAACUAAAAGAUGAACAAAAAUCUGGGACAGUGCUUCCUGCUGUUGAACAGUGUUUAAACAGGAGUCUCUACAGACCGGAUGCUGUUGCACAGCCUGUGACAGAGGAUGAGUUUGCUUUGGAAUCUGCAGUAGAGUACUCUCUUGUGAAAUUAAUUUUCUCACUCUGAAUCUCAUUUUUUAUAUUAUUUUCUUCUAAAACUUAGCAGUUGUCUACCUAUCAUUGUUUUAUGUUAGUAUUAAAACUUUUAUUAGAGAUAACCAUUUUAAAGAAAUGGGAGGGGUUAAUUUUAAUUUUUUUUUACUUUGGCAAAUAACAAAUAGCUCAUAAAUUCUUUGAGAGGUGUGAUCUGAAAAAAAAUUUGCUGGAAAAUACACAGUGACAGAAAAAUGGUGUUCGGUGACGCUUUCCCACAAUAGAGGAGAUACAAAUUUUGGUCUAGGC